CGCGGCCUAUCAGCUUGUUGGUGGGGUAAUGGCCUACCAAGGCGACGACGGGUAGCCGGCCUGAGAGGGUGAUCGGCCACACUGGGACUGAGACACGGCCCAGACUCCUACGGGAGGCAGCAGUGGGGAAUAUUGCACAAUGGGCGGAAGCCUGAUGCAGCGACGCCGCGUGGGGGAUGACGGUCUUCGGAUUGUAAACUCCUUUCAGUAGGGACGAAGCGAGAGUGACGGUACCUGCAGAAGAAGCACCGGCCAACUACGUGCCAGCAGCCGCGGUAAUACGUAGGGUGCGAGCGUUGUCCGGAAUUACUGGGCGUAAAGAGCUCGUAGGCGGUUUGUCACGUCGUCUGUGAAAUCCUCCAGCUCAACUGGGGGCGUGCAGGCGAUACGGGCUGACUUGAGUACUACAGGGGAGACUGGAAUUCCUGGUGUAGCGGUGAAAUGCGCAGAUAUCAGGAGGAACACCGGUGGCGAAGGCGGGUCUCUGGGUAGUAACUGACGCUGAGGAGCGAAAGCAUGGGGAGCAAACAGGAUUAGAUACCCUGGUAGUCCAUGCCGUAAACGGUGGGCGCUAGGUGUGGGGUCCCUCCACGGAUUCCGUGCCGUAGCUAACGCAUUAAGCGCCCCGCCUGGGGAGUACGG
Molecule: ribosomal RNA, 642 nt
Filed under: uncultured bacterium
Lineage: Bacteria
Description: bacterial SSU rRNA
Rfam family: Bacterial small subunit ribosomal RNA
Source: RNAcentral